RNAcentral lists this ribosomal RNA (275 nucleotides) under uncultured bacterium. Its description in RNAcentral is "partial 16S ribosomal RNA". It matches the Rfam family "Bacterial small subunit ribosomal RNA", at positions 399 to 691 of the family's 1533-position model. The record is from RNAcentral.
GCGUGAGUGAUGAAGGCCUUAGGGUCGUAAAGCUCUUUCGCUAGGGAAGAUAAUGACGGUACCUAGUAAAGAAACCCCGGCUAACUCCGUGCCAGCAGCCGCGGUAAUACGGAGGGGGUUAGCGUUGUUCGGAAUUACUGGGCGUAAAGCGUACGUAGGCUGAUUAUUAAGUCAGAGGUGAAAUCCCAGGGCUCAACCCUGGAACUGCCUUUGAUACUGGUAGUCUAGAGAUUGUGAGAGGUGAGUGGAAUUCCAAGUGUAGAGGUGAAAUUCGU